Non-coding RNA from Aegilops tauschii subsp. strangulata, 1306 nucleotides. Lineage: Eukaryota; Viridiplantae; Streptophyta; Magnoliopsida; Poales; Poaceae. The record is from RefSeq and is a predicted model, not a curated record.
AAACAGGAAAGAACCUGAACCCCAAGGUGGCACUCAGUUUUCUGUGUUUCAGUCGCAGUGCAAGUUGCAGGCACUCUACAUGGACGAGAAUUUAUCACUAUCACUGGUUUUGUUUCUUCAGUAAAAAGCAUUGUCUACUACCUAUCGAGUUGAAACUGAUGAUGUUGUUUCUGUAGUUAUUAGCCCUUUAAAUAGCAAUGACUGUGUUGCAUCUGAUGUGCAUGAGUUCAACCUAGCGAGCUCCUGGGAGAAGAAAAACAGAGCCACAACAGCCCUGACGAAGAUCUCCAUCCGUGGUCCGAGGACCAACCAUGACGUCGAGCUGCUACAACUUGGAGUCAGGAGUCGUGUUCGCACCCCGGCGUGUCCCAGUAUGUGCUUUGGAAGACAUGCGUCAAUCUCAGAAGACCCUGAUGCGUCCACAUUAUUUGCUUCAGAAAUAGAUAGCAGCUCUCCGAUGUAGUAAGGAGAAAGCAAGAAUGACAGAGCAUCCUCGUGUCAAACUGAACACACCCUGGCACUUCUCCAUUAUUUAAUUCAGAAACAGGGAGAAACAACUGCUAUCUCUGAAUAUAUUUAAGGUUGUUUCUCUUAUCUCUAUUCUGAUGUACAUGCAUCUUCCCUUGCUAUCUUCCAUACAUAUAUGUGCUAGAACCCAUGCCUUUUUUGUCCUGUAAAUGUGCUACAGAUAUGUGCAGCAAAGUAGUCUUCAUGUGAGAGGAAGCAAAGAAGGUAUGAGGCUAUGCAAUAAUGCUCCAUGUUAGUUGGAAGUCCAAUCUCGGCUUGAGUACCGCUCUUUAAGCAAAAUUACUAGCAACAUAUCUUAUCCUAGAUGAUUCUUGCUUAAAUAACUUUAGAAGCACAACUAUCAGUAUGUGCACUUAAUAAAAUGCAAUUCCAAGUGCAGAUGCUGAAAAUAUUUUGGAAAUUAUACAUUAUUCAAUCUCCCAGUUUGUGAUUUGCGUUUUGUUUAUGAAAAGGUGUGACGAAAUCUUUUGUUUAUGUUUUCCAGAAAUGUACAAACGAGUGGCAUGUGUCAUCUAUAGCAUGUCCCCUUUGUGUGAAAUGUACAUGCAACUCUUGACAGCUAUUAACAUGAAGUUGCACUCAGGCUCUCGCAUGGACUAAAGAGUUAUUGUCAGUAUGUACCACUGUUUAAUUUUUACAGUCCAUAGGUUUAUUUAUAUGGCCAGUAUUGAUCUCAAGGACAACAUACUGUAAUUUCCUCUAUUACUUGUCAAUAUUGCUGUAACUACAGUCACUCGCAUUCAAAAUUUUAUUUAGAGGAACUACAACAUGUAUUUUA